This 328-nucleotide ribosomal RNA is filed under the name uncultured eukaryote. RNAcentral describes it as "partial 18S ribosomal RNA". It matches the Rfam family "Eukaryotic small subunit ribosomal RNA", at positions 1470 to 1796 of the family's 1831-position model. The record is from RNAcentral.
CCCUUAGAUGUUCUGGGCCGCACGCGCGCUACACUGACGAAUGCAACGAGCUUAUAACCUUGGCCGAAAGGUCUGGGUAAUCUCCAAAUUUCGUCGUGAUGGGGAUAGAUUAUUGCAACUAUUAAUCUUCAACGAGGAAUACCUAGUAGGCGCAUGUCAUCAGCGUGCGUCGAUUACGUCCCUGCCCUUUGUACACACCGCCCGUCGCUCCUACCGAUUGAAUGAUCCGGUGAGGCCCCCGGACUGUGGCAACGGCUUUGGUUCGCCAAACUGAUGCCGCGGGAAGCUGUCCAAACCUUAUCAUUUAGAGGAAGGAGAAGUCGUAACA